CCCUUAGAUGUUCUGGGCCGCACGCGCGCUACACUGACUGGUUCAUCGAGCUUACAACCUUGACUGAUAGGUUUGGGUAAUCUUUUGAAAGCCAGUCGUGAUGGGGAUAGAUUAUUGUAAUUUUUAAUCUUCAACGAGGAAUUCCUAGUAAACGCAAGUCAUCAACUUGCGUUGAUUACGUCCCUGCCCUUUGUACACACCGCCCGUCGCUACUACCGAUUGAAUGGUUUAGUGAGAUGUUUGGACCGGAACUCUCUUGCUCAGCAAUGGGCGAGAGAGAGUCUGGGAAGUCCCUCUAACUGUAUCAUUUAGAGGAAGUAAAAGUCGUAACA
Molecule: ribosomal RNA, 332 nt
Filed under: uncultured eukaryote
Lineage: Eukaryota
Description: partial 18S ribosomal RNA
Rfam family: Eukaryotic small subunit ribosomal RNA
Source: RNAcentral